Molecule: ribosomal RNA, 2897 nt
Filed under: Klebsiella pneumoniae
Lineage: Bacteria; Pseudomonadati; Pseudomonadota; Gammaproteobacteria; Enterobacterales; Enterobacteriaceae
Description: 23S ribosomal RNA
Rfam family: Bacterial large subunit ribosomal RNA
Source: RNAcentral
UUAAGCGACUAAGCGUACACGGUGGAUGCCCUGGCAGUCAGAGGCGAUGAAGGACGUGCUAAUCUGCGAAAAGCGUCGGUAAGGUGAUAUGAACCGUUAUAACCGGCGAUGUCCGAAUGGGGAAACCCAGUGUGAUUCGUCACACUAUCGUUAACUGAAUACAUAGGUUAACGAGGCGAACCGGGGGAACUGAAACAUCUAAGUACCCCGAGGAAAAGAAAUCAACCGAGAUUCCCCCAGUAGCGGCGAGCGAACGGGGAGCAGCCCAGAGUCUGAAUCAGCUUGUGUGUUAGUGGAACGGUCUGGAAAGUCCGACGGUACAGGGUGAUAGUCCCGUACACCAAAAUGCACAGGCUGUGAACUCGAAGAGUAGGGCGGGACACGUGGUAUCCUGUCUGAAUAUGGGGGGACCAUCCUCCAAGGCUAAAUACUCCUGACUGACCGAUAGUGAACCAGUACCGUGAGGGAAAGGCGAAAAGAACCCCGGCGAGGGGAGUGAAAAAGAACCUGAAACCGUGUACGUACAAGCAGUGGGAGCACCUUCGGGUGUGACUGCGUACCUUUUGUAUAAUGGGUCAGCGACUUAUAUUCUGUAGCAAGGUUAACCGUAUAGGGGAGCCGCAGGGGAAACCGAGUCUUAACUGGGCGUUAAGUUGCAGGGUAUAGACCCGAAACCCGGUGAUCUAGCCAUGGGCAGGUUGAAGGUUGGGUAACACUAACUGGAGGACCGAACCGACUAAUGUUGAAAAAUUAGCGGAUGACUUGUGGCUGGGGGUGAAAGGCCAAUCAAACCGGGAGAUAGCUGGUUCUCCCCGAAAGCUAUUUAGGUAGCGCCUCGUGAACUCAUCUUCGGGGGUAGAGCACUGUUUCGGCUAGGGGGUCAUCCCGACUUACCAACCCGAUGCAAACUACGAAUACCGAAGAAUGUUAUCACGGGAGACACACGGCGGGUGCUAACGUCCGUCGUGAAGAGGGAAACAACCCAGACCGCCAGCUAAGGUCCCAAAGUCAUGGUUAAGUGGGAAACGAUGUGGGAAGGCACAGACAGCCAGGAUGUUGGCUUAGAAGCAGCCAUCAUUUAAAGAAAGCGUAAUAGCUCACUGGUCGAGUCGGCCUGCGCGGAAGAUGUAACGGGGCUAAACCAUGCACCGAAGCUGCGGCAGCGACACUAUGUGUUGUUGGGUAGGGGAGCGUUCUGUAAGCCUGCGAAGGUGACCUGUGAGGGUUGCUGGAGGUAUCAGAAGUGCGAAUGCUGACAUAAGUAACGAUAAAGCGGGUGAAAAGCCCGCUCGCCGGAAGACCAAGGGUUCCUGUCCAACGUUAAUCGGGGCAGGGUGAGUCGACCCCUAAGGCGAGGCCGAAAGGCGUAGUCGAUGGGAAACAGGUUAAUAUUCCUGUACUUGGUGUUACUGCGAAGGGGGGACGGAGAAGGCUAUGUUAGCCGGGCGACGGUUGUCCCGGUUUAAGCAUGUAGGCUGAUUAUCCAGGCAAAUCCGGAUAAUCAAGGCUGAGGUGUGAUGACGAGGCACUACGGUGCUGAAGUAACAAAUGCCCUGCUUCCAGGAAAAGCCUCUAAGCAUCAGGUAACAUCAAAUCGUACCCCAAACCGACACAGGUGGUCAGGUAGAGAAUACCAAGGCGCUUGAGAGAACUCGGGUGAAGGAACUAGGCAAAAUGGUGCCGUAACUUCGGGAGAAGGCACGCUGGUGUGUAGGUGAAGCCCCUGCGGGUGGAGCUGAGACCAGUCGAAGAUACCAGCUGGCUGCAACUGUUUAUUAAAAACACAGCACUGUGCAAACACGAAAGUGGACGUAUACGGUGUGACGCCUGCCCGGUGCCGGAAGGUUAAUUGAUGGGGUUAUCCGUAAGGAGCUCUUGAUCGAAGCCCGGUAAACGGCGGCCGUAACUAUAACGGUCCUAAGGUAGCGAAAUUCCUUGUCGGGUAAGUUCCGACCUGCACGAAUGGCGUAAUGAUGGCCCAGGCUGUCUCCACCCGAGACUCAGUGAAAUUGAACUCGCUGUGAAGAUGCAGUGUACCCGCGGCAAGACGGAAAGACCCCGUGAACCUUUACUAUAGCUUGACACUGAACAUUGAGCCUUGAUGUGUAGGAUAGGUGGGAGGCUUUGAAGCGUGGACGCCAGUCUGCGUGGAGCCAACCUUGAAAUACCACCCUUUAAUGUUUGAUGUUCUAACGUUGGCCCCUUACCGGGGUUGCGGACAGUGUCUGGUGGGUAGUUUGACUGGGGCGGUCUCCUCCCAAAGCGUAACGGAGGAGCACGAAGGUUAGCUAAUCCUGGUCGGACAUCAGGAGGUUAGUGCAAUGGCAUAAGCUAGCUUGACUGCGAGCGUGACGGCGCGAGCAGGUGCGAAAGCAGGUCAUAGUGAUCCGGUGGUUCUGAAUGGAAGGGCCAUCGCUCAACGGAUAAAAGGUACUCCGGGGAUAACAGGCUGAUACCGCCCAAGAGUUCAUAUCGACGGCGGUGUUUGGCACCUCGAUGUCGGCUCAUCACAUCCUGGGGCUGAAGUAGGUCCCAAGGGUAUGGCUGUUCGCCAUUUAAAGUGGUACGCGAGCUGGGUUUAGAACGUCGUGAGACAGUUCGGUCCCUAUCUGCCGUGGGCGCUGGAGAAUUGAGGGGGGCUGCUCCUAGUACGAGAGGACCGGAGUGGACGCAUCACUGGUGUUCGGGUUGUCAUGCCAAUGGCACUGCCCGGUAGCUAAAUGCGGAAGAGAUAAGUGCUGAAAGCAUCUAAGCACGAAACUUGCCCCGAGAUGAGUUCUCCCUGAGACUUUAAGUCUCCUGAAGGAACGUUGAAGACGAUGACGUUGAUAGGCCGGGUGUGUAAGCGCAGCGAUGCGUUGAGCUAACCGGUACUAAUGAACCGUGAGGCUUAACCU